CUGGUCGGCUAGAUGGUCGCUGCCAACGUUGAGUUGGGAGAGGAAAGUCCGGGCUUUAAAGGGCAGAGCGGUCGGUAACGCCGACCAAUCGUAAGGUUAGGGAAAGUGCCACAGAAAACAGACCGCCGAACGGGUCUUCGGACUGCGUGGUAAGGGUGAAACGGUGAGGCAAGAGCUCACCAGCGUUGUGGGUGACUGCAGCGGCUUGGUAAACCCCGCUCGAAGCAAGAUCAAACAGAGGGGAGCAAUGCGAGCCGGCUCGGCUCGCCACCACCUUCGGGUAGAUCGCUCGAGGCUGCAAGCAAUUGCAGUCCUAGAUAAAUGACCAUCGUCGUCAACCGGGGGCCAAGCGUCUCCGGUGCACGUCACAGAACCCGGCUUAUCGGCUCGCCAAUGCA
RNAcentral lists this RNase P RNA (398 nucleotides) under Planctomycetales bacterium. Its description in RNAcentral is "RNase P RNA component class A". It matches the Rfam family "Bacterial RNase P class A". From Rfam's summary of the family: Ribonuclease P (RNase P) is a ubiquitous endoribonuclease, found in archaea, bacteria and eukarya as well as chloroplasts and mitochondria. Its best characterised activity is the generation of mature 5'-ends of tRNAs by cleaving the 5'-leader elements of precursor-tRNAs. Cellular RNase Ps are ribonucleoproteins. Lineage: Bacteria; Pseudomonadati; Planctomycetota; Planctomycetia; Planctomycetales. The record is from RNAcentral.